CCGCUGAACUUAAGCAUAUCAAUAAGCGGAGGAAAAGAAACCAACAGGGAUUGCCCUAGUAACGGCGAGUGAAGCGGCAACAGCUCAAAUUUGAAAUCUGGCUUCGGCCCGAGUUGUAAUUUGUAGAGGAAGCUUUUGGUGAGGCACCUUCUGAGUCCCCUGGAACGGGGCGCCAUAGAGGGUGAGAGCCCCGUAUAGUCGGAUGCCGAUCCAAUGUAAAGCUCCUUCGACGAGUCGAGUAGUUUGGGAAUGCUGCUCAAAAUGGGAGGUAAAUUUCUUCUAAAGCUAAAUACCGGCCAGAGACCGAUAGCGCACAAGUAGAGUGAUCGAAAGAUGAAAAGCACUUUGAAAAGAGGGUUAAAUAGCACGUGAAAUUGU
This 378-nucleotide ribosomal RNA is filed under the name Christiangramia aestuarii. RNAcentral's name for it is "partial 23S ribosomal RNA". It matches the Rfam family "Eukaryotic large subunit ribosomal RNA", at positions 25 to 408 of the family's 3401-position model. Lineage: Bacteria; Pseudomonadati; Bacteroidota; Flavobacteriia; Flavobacteriales; Flavobacteriaceae. The record is from RNAcentral.